AAUCAACGCUCCACACUCACUAGUAGCAGCGGCAGCAUCAGCGGUCGCCGCCGCAGCCGCCCUGUCUGUACUGGAUCAGUGGAGAUGGGCUGAGGCAACACCAAGACCAACGGCCGUUGAGAGUAGCUAGCAGUUACAGAAGGGAACACCCAGGAAUUAUUCCUGAUCCCGUUUGCCCCCUCUUCUCCCCGGCCCCAGCAGGCCAGGGAAUGUCCCGGCAGCAAGAUGCCUUAUGUGGACCGACAGAACCGCAUCUGUGGCUUCCUGGACAUAGAGGAGUUCGAAAGCAGUGGCAAGUUCCUGCGUCGUUACUUCAUACUGGACACACAGCAGGGAAGCUUGGUGUGGUUUAUGGACAACCCACAGAACCUGCCUGUUGGAACAGACUGUGUUGGCUCCCUAAAGCUUACCUACAUCUCUAAGGUCAGCGAUGCCACUAAGCAGAGGCCGAAGGCUGAAUUCUGCUUCGUCAUCAAUGCUGGAAUGAGGAAGUUCUUCCUGCAGGCCAACGAUCAGCAGGACCUCGUGGACUGGGUCGAGUCUCUCAAUAAAGCCACCAAGAUUACUGUGCCAAAGUUGUGUGAUGGACAGCAGAAUGCAGAAAACCAGAAGGCUUUACCGGAUCCAAUAGGACCCAAGAAACAAGUCUCCUAUAAGACAGAGAUCAUUGGAGGAGUGCCCAUUGUCACUCAGACACAACAUGAUGGGGGUGAUGGUGCAGACCGAGCGGAGCGUGAGGCCAUGCAUCGCUCCCACAGCCAGCUGCCGUACUUCCUGGGCAGGCCGACUCAGGAGCACGCCGCCAUCAAGUCAGGCUACUGCGUUAAGCAAGGAGCAGUGAUGAGGAACUGGAAACGGCGAUAUUUCCUACUGGAAGAAAACUCAAUGAGUUACUUCAAGUCAGAUUUGGAGAAAGAGCCUCUGAGAAUGAUCCCACUGAAGGAAGUUCACAAAGUCCAGGAGUGCAAACAGAGUGACAUUCUGAUGAGAGAUAAUCUGUUUGAAGUCGUCACCACAUCAAGGACGUUUUACAUACAGGCGGACAGCCCAGAGGAGAUGCACAGCUGGAUCAAGGCUGUCUCAGGGGCCAUUGUGGCCCAGCGGGGGCCUGGGAGGUCUGCUGCCACAAUGCGGCAGGCCAGACGGCUGUCGAACCCCUGUAUACAGAGGUAUACGUCUCGAAUCGGGGAGUGCAGCAGCACUCUGCUGCAGCUGUGUACCUGUCUUAGAUGUGUGACAUCCUGCUUGUCUCUCCUCCUCCCUCCUGUUCGCUGCCUAGAUUGAAAUUUGAAAAUGAAAAGAUGUGAAAUAAUAAGCAACCGUCACUGCUUCCUAAGGCACUUGGCUCCUCCACUGUAACCUGUCAGACUACCAAAUCUAAAACCUGCUGAUACUACUACCACGUCUCUGCUACUUCUACUACUACUAUUAUUACUUCUUCUACUGCUACUACUUCUACUACCACCAUCUCCCGUUUCUAGCCAUGCUACAUUCUUCAGCACCUACAACCUCCAAUACCAACUCUGCUAAGGCUGCAUCAGGCUCCACAUGCUGGUGCUAAUUCCAAGAACACAGCGCCCGUUCCACUUUCUACCGCAGCCCCGCGGGUCCCCCCGUCCCUCGCUCGCCCAUAUCUGCCAUGCCACCAUGCUACCCAGACUGGGGGGCAGCUGUCACGUGCGGCACACGCUCGCAGCCUGGCAUGGGACAGCGAGCACUUCAUGAGCCUGCUGCCACGGCCCAUUCACAGCCACACGCCAGCACGCCUGUCCCUGCAGGAGACGCGCCUGGCAAAGUGACCUGCGUGCCCCCUGUG
RNA transcript from Etheostoma cragini (Arkansas darter), 1816 nucleotides. It is a transcript of the gene named pleckstrin homology domain-containing family A member 1-like, with no coding region annotated. The transcript is spliced from 15 exons. NCBI's taxonomy places the organism in Eukaryota, Metazoa, Chordata, Actinopteri, Perciformes, Percidae. The record is from RefSeq and is a predicted model, not a curated record.